This 705-nucleotide ribosomal RNA is filed under the name uncultured bacterium. RNAcentral describes it as "bacterial SSU rRNA". It matches the Rfam family "Bacterial small subunit ribosomal RNA", at positions 62 to 766 of the family's 1533-position model. The record is from RNAcentral.
UCGAGCGAAGCACUUUCUCGGAAGUUUUCGGAUGGAAGAGGAUUUGACUGACCGGCGGACGGGUGAGUAACGCGUGGGGAACCUGCCUCAUACAGGGGAAUAACAGAUGGAAACGUCUGCUAAUGCCGCAUAAGCGCACACUGUGGCAUCACAGAGUGUGAAAAACUCCGGUGGUAUGAGAUGGCCCCGCGUCUGAUUAGGCAGUUGGCGGGGUAACGGCCCACCAAACCGACGAUCAGUAGCCGACCUGAGAGGGUGACCGGCCACAUUGGGACUGAGACACGGCCCAAACUCCUACGGGAGGCAGCAGUGGGGAAUAUUGCACAAUGGGGGAAACCCUGAUGCAGCGACGCCGCGUGGGUGACGAAGUAUUUCGGUAUGUAAAGCCCUAUCAGCAGGGAAGAAGAUGACAGUACCUGACUAAGAAGCCCCGGCUAACUACGUGCCAGCAGCCGCGGUAAUACGUAGGGGGCAAGCGUUAUCCGGAUUUACUGGGUGUAAAGGGAGCGUAGGUGGCAUGGCAAGCCAGAAGUGAAAACCCGGGGCUUAACCCCGCGGAUUGCUUUUGGAACUGUCAGGCUGGAGUGCAGGAGGGGCAGGCGGAAUUCCUGGUGUAGCGGUGAAAUGCGUAGAUAUCAGGAGGAACACCGGUGGCGAAGGCGGCCUGCUGGACUGUAACUGACACUGAGGCUCGAAAGCGUGGGG